AGGGAACUAGUCCAACUUAAGACUUCUGAUUUCGGCUCAGACGAUUAUGGUUAAAAUCCAUAUCUCCCUU
Molecule: transfer RNA, 70 nt
Filed under: Sardina pilchardus (European sardine)
Lineage: Eukaryota; Metazoa; Chordata; Actinopteri; Clupeiformes; Clupeidae
Description: tRNA-Arg
Rfam family: tRNA
About the family: Transfer RNA (tRNA) molecules are approximately 80 nucleotides in length. Their secondary structure includes four short double-helical elements and three loops (D, anti-codon, and T loops).
Source: RNAcentral